CGUCUCCAGUAGGGAUCGAACCUACACGCCCGAAGGCACAGUUUUCAAGACUGCUGUGAUACCAUUACACGUAUGAAGAC
RNAcentral lists this transfer RNA (80 nucleotides) under Terrestrivirus sp. Its description in RNAcentral is "tRNA-Ser". The record is from RNAcentral. Lineage: Varidnaviria; Bamfordvirae; Nucleocytoviricota; Megaviricetes; Imitervirales; Mimiviridae.